GAGAGGGUCUCGCGGCCUAUCAGCUAGUUGGUGGGGUAACGGCCUACCAAGGCAACGACGGGUAGCUGGUUUGAGAGAACGAUCAGCCACACUGGGACUGAGACACGGCCCAGACUCCUACGGGAGGCAGCAGUGGGGAAUCUUGCGCAAUGGGCGAAAGCCUGACGCAGCAACGCCGCGUGCGGGAUGACGGCCUUCGUGGUUGUAAACCGCUUUCAGCAGGGACGAAAAUGACGGUACCUGCAGAAGAAGCCCCGGCUAACUACGUGCCAGCAGCCGCGGUAAUACGUAGGGGGCGAGCGUUGUCCGGAAUCAUUGGGCGUAAAGAGCUCGUAGGCGGUUCAGUAAGUCGGGUGUGAAAGCUCCGAGCUCAACUCGGAGAGGCCACCCGAUACUGCUGUGACUAGAAUCCAGUAGGGGAGCGUGGAACUCCUGGUGUAGCGGUGAAAUGCGCAGAUAUCAGGAAGAACACCAGCGGCGAAGGCGGCGCUCUGGGCUGGAAUUGACGCUGAGGAGCGAAAGUGUGGGUAGCAAACAGGAUUAGAUACCCUGGUAGUC
Molecule: ribosomal RNA, 558 nt
Filed under: uncultured bacterium
Lineage: Bacteria
Description: bacterial SSU rRNA
Rfam family: Bacterial small subunit ribosomal RNA
Source: RNAcentral